AACGAACGCUGGCGGCAUGCCUAACACAUGCAAGUCGAACGAGACCUUCGGGUCUAGUGGCGCACGGGUGCGUAACGCGUGGGAACCUGCCCUUAGGUUCGGAAUAACUCCCCGAAAGGGGUGCUAAUACCGGAUAAUGUCUUCGGACCAAAGAUUUAUCGCCUUUGGAUGGGCCCGCGUUGGAUUAGCUAGUUGGUAGGGUAAAAGCCUACCAAGGCGACGAUCCAUAGCUGGUCUGAGAGGAUGAUCAGCCACACUGGGACUGAGACACGGCCCAGACUCCUACGGGAGGCAGCAGUGGGGAAUAUUGGACAAUGGACGAAAGCCUGAACCAGCAAUGCCGCGUGAGUGAUGAAGGCCUUAGGGUUGUAAAGCUCUUUUACCCGGGAUGAUAAUGACAGUACCGGGAGAAUAAGCUCCGGCGAACUCCGU
RNAcentral lists this ribosomal RNA (432 nucleotides) under uncultured bacterium. RNAcentral's name for it is "partial 16S ribosomal RNA". It matches the Rfam family "Bacterial small subunit ribosomal RNA", at positions 29 to 506 of the family's 1533-position model. The record is from RNAcentral.